Molecule: small nucleolar RNA, 128 nt
Organism: Pipistrellus kuhlii (Kuhl's pipistrelle)
Lineage: Eukaryota; Metazoa; Chordata; Mammalia; Chiroptera; Vespertilionidae
Source: RefSeq, a predicted model, not a curated record
AUUGAGGUCUAUCCCGAUGGGUCUUUUUCUGUAGACCUACAUCUUGGAAAUACCUCAGAAUAAAUAUGUAGCUUUCUUUAUUCACAGAACUAUGUGUUAGAUCUGUGGAAAGCAACUACAAGACAGCU